UCGUGCGUCUUGCAUCUGUUUAUUGAAGAGUAAGGAUCUUAGCUGUAACGUGACAAUUCCCAGGGCUCCAAUAGGCUCUCAGAACCCGGGAAAAACCUGAACGAUGACGAGGCAGCCUCUGGCUGAAACAGAUUAUCGCCUUAUCCAAGUGGCCGAUCAGAGGACCAUUGAAUGAGGCGCGUGCACGAUUCGCCCCCGUGGAGAAAUUUCAUUCGGCUGUUUAGCUUAUUGCAGAUUCCCGGUCGGAAUAUUAUCGCUUUUCUACGAGAUAAAUGGCAUAAAAAUUGGUUUUAAACAGCGGUUGACAUGCUUCGAAGUACGGUAAUGGAAUAUUUAGACAUUUUUUGUCACGCCAUGCUCCAUGCGUGCGACCGUUAUUUACCAUUCGUAUAGUGUCUAGAACGCACGAACAAAACAGAGGAUAUUUGGACAUAACGAUGGAUUAUUUGGGACCAAACCUACAUUUGUUAUUGAAGUAGAAGUCCUGGGAGUGCAUUCUGACGAAGAACAGGAAAGGAAUGGACUACAUCAAGGAUCUCCUGGAAGAACCCUUGCUGCAGCUAGGUGAUGGCACCAGUUUAUCAGAUGAGGAGGACUUCUUCUCUGCCAUGAAAACGUCUCAAGCACAAGAAAGCUCCAAACAGCUGGACGGAUACCUGGCCGGUUCUGUCACGAUUCCCACCGACGGUGGCGCCCCCUCCUGCUCGGGUGGUGCUCGGCGGUCGUCGUCACCGGCCUAUUAGCUGCCACUGAUUCCCUUUUUUGUUUUCCCCCUGUUUGUGAUUGUGUGCACCUGUUCUUAGUGGGGGUGAUUAGCGGGGCUAUUAGUAUUAGCUGGUCCGCUUUCUCAUUGUGCGGGAUUAUUUCCUGUUGCGCUUGUGUUUACGCUUGUGCGUUUGUUUUGCGCCGCAUGUUAUUUCCCCUGUGUUUGGGACACUUUAUUUUGUGUGCGCGUUAUGCGUUGUUUGGGGUGGCUUGUGUGUGCUCGCCUGUUUGACCCUGUUUGACUGGAAGCUUCUGGAAUUCGAACUUCUGUUAUUCGAACUCAAUCAGCAUGACAGAGUGAUCUCCAGCCUUGUCCUCGUCAACACUCACACCUGUGUUAACGAGAGAAUCACUGACAUCAUGUCAGCUGGUCCUUUUGUGGCAGGGCUGAAAUGCAUUGGAAAUGUUUUUUGGGAUUCAGUUCAUUUGCAUGGCAAAGAGGGACUUUGCAAUCAAUUGCAAUUCAUCUGAUCACUCUUCAUAACAUUCUGGAGUAUAUGCAAAUUGCCAUCAUACAAACUGAGGCAGCAGACUUUGUGAAAAUUAAUAUUUGUGUCAUUCUGAAAACUUUUGGCCACGACUGUACACCUGAUGAAAUGUUAACAAGGCGACCAAUGAACACACCAGGGGAAAGCAGCAGAACCAAUCCCAGGUGAGGAUCCAGAUGCUCUGACCAUCUGCGUAGGAGACUGGGUGAAACUGCGAGUCCAUAAAAGAAAAUGGAACCAGCCAAGAUGGACAGGUCCGUUCCAGGUAACCAUGGUAACUCCAACGGCGCUGCGGGUAGCAGAGAGGUCCGGCUGGCAUCAUCUCUCCUACUGCAAGCAUCUCCCAGAUUGGAAGCCAUGGAUGAGUGACUGGAGGGAGGGAGAGCAGGGCUCCGAGAACAUCUGACAGAAGCAGAGGGCCCAGACCAAAUGGCCAGAAAGAAAGAUGAAAAAGAAGGCUCCAGCCAACAAGCAGAAGAAGGAGACAUCAUUUCACACUCACACUCAGGUUCUAUAACUAGGAAACAGAGACUACACCGGGUCUGGUGGUUUGUUUUCCCCAUCAUCCUUUCCAUGGGUCUCCUUGUGGGUGCAGCCACAGGACCCCCUAGGGGAUCUGAGGAAAACAACAAAUGGAUACAAAUGGUGAGAAAAAAAAUUGGAAAUCAGACUAAGAGGCCAGGGACCCAGAUUUUUGUAUUUUGAAAGCCUACAUCAACCACUGAGUUGUUCGGGAGUCAGGUUGUGUCACGUCCUGACCAGUAAAGGGGUCAUUUGUCAUUGUAGUUGGUCAGGGCGAUGCAGGGGGUGUUGUUUUUGUGUGUUUUGGGGUUGGUUUGUUUGUUUUGAGGGGAUUUGUUCUAGUUUUCAUUUUCUAUGUUCAGUUUCUAUGUGUGGCCGAGUAUGGUUUCCAAUCAGAGGCAGGUGUCUUUCGUUGUCUCUGAUUGGAAGCCAUACUUAGGCAGCCCUUUUUUCCUUUGGGUUUGUGGGUGGUUGUUUUCUGUAUGGCCUGUGUGCUUUAUGGAACUGUUUCGUCGUCUGUUUAUUUUGGUUUGAGUGUUCUUCCUAAAUAAAGUAAGAAGAUGAGCACUGUA
RNAcentral lists this long non-coding RNA (2347 nucleotides) under Salmo salar (Atlantic salmon). RNAcentral's name for it is "lncRNA (ENSSSAG00000109855.1)". The record is from RNAcentral. Lineage: Eukaryota; Metazoa; Chordata; Actinopteri; Salmoniformes; Salmonidae.